GACGAACGCUGGCGGCGUGCUUAACACAUGCAAGUCGAACGGAAAGGCCCUGCUUUUGUGGGGUGCUCGAGUGGCGAACGGGUGAGUAACACGUGAGUAACCUGCCCUUGACUUUGGGAUAACUUCAGGAAACUGGGGCUAAUACCGGAUAGGAGCUCCUGCUGCAUGGUGGGGGUUGGAAAGUUUCGGCGGUUGGGGAUGGACUCGCGGCUUAUCAGCUUGUUGGUGGGGUAGUGGCUUACCAAGGCUUUGACGGGUAGCCGGCCUGAGAGGGUGACCGGCCACAUUGGGACUGAGAUACGGCCCAGACUCCUACGGGAGGCAGCAGUGGGGAAUAUUGCACAAUGGGCGGAAGCCUGAUGCAGCAACGCCGCGUGCGGGAUGACGGCCUUCGGGUUGUAAACCGCUUUCGCCUGUGACGAAGCGUGAGUGACGGUAAUGGGUAAAGAAGCACCGGCUAACUACGUGCCAGCAGCCGCGGUGAUACGUAGGGUGCGAGCGUUGUCCGGAUUUAUUGGGCGUAAAGGGCUCGUAGGUGGUUGAUCGCGUCGGAAGUGUAAUCUUGGGGCUUAACCCUGAGCGUGCUUUCGAUACGGGUUGACUUGAGGAAGGUAGGGGAGAAUGGAAUUCCUGGUGGAGCGGUGGAAUGCGCAGAUAUCGGGAGGAACACCAGUGGCGAAGGCGGUUCUCUGGGCCUUUCCUGACGCUGAGGAGCGAAAGCGUGGGGAGCGAACAGGCUUAGAUACCCUGGUAGUCCACGCUGUAAACGGUGGGUACUAGGUGUGGGGUCCAUUCCACGGGUUCCGUGCCGUAGCUAACGCUUUAAGUACCCCGCCUGGGGAGUACGGCCGCAAGGCUAAAACUCAAAGGAAUUGACGGGGCCCCGCACAAGCGGCGGAGCAUGCGGAUUAAUUCGAUGCAACGCGUAGAACCUUACCUGGGUUUGACAUGGAUCGGGAGUGCUCAGAGAUGGGUGUGCCUCUUUUGGGGUCGGUUCACAGGUGGUGCAUGGCUGUCGUCAGCUCGUGUCGUGAGAUGUUGGGUUAAGUCCCGCAACGAGCGCAACCCUUGUUCACUGUUGCCAGCACGUUAUGGUGGGGACUCAGUGGAGACCGCCGGGGUCAACUCGGAGGAAGGUGGGGAUGACGUCAAGUCAUCAUGCCCCUUAUGUCCAGGGCUUCACGCAUGCUACAAUGGCUGGUACAGAGAGUGGCGAGCCUGUGAGGGUGAGCGAAUCCCGGAAAGCCGGUCUCAGUUCGGAUUGGGGUCUGCAACUCGACCUCAUGAAGUCGGAGUCGCUAGUAAUCGCAGAUCAGCAACGCUGCGGUGAAUACGUUCCCGGGGCU
Molecule: ribosomal RNA, 1346 nt
Filed under: uncultured bacterium
Lineage: Bacteria
Description: partial 16S ribosomal RNA
Rfam family: Bacterial small subunit ribosomal RNA
Source: RNAcentral